RNAcentral lists this ribosomal RNA (512 nucleotides) under uncultured bacterium. Its description in RNAcentral is "partial 16S ribosomal RNA". It matches the Rfam family "Bacterial small subunit ribosomal RNA", at positions 28 to 523 of the family's 1533-position model. The record is from RNAcentral.
GACGAACGCUGGCGGCGUGCCUAAUACAUGCAAGUCGAGCGGAUUGAUGGGAGCUUGCUCCCUGAUAUCAGCGGCGGACGGGUGAGUAACACGUGGGCAACCUGCCUAUAAGACUGGGAUAACUUCGGGAAACCGGAGCUAAUACCGGAUAAUCCCUUUCCUCUCAUGAGGAAAGGCUGAAAGAUGGUUUACGCUAUCACUUAUAGAUGGGCCCGCGGCGCAUUAGCUAGUUGGUGAGGUAACGGCUCACCAAGGCAACGAUGCGUAGCCGACCUGAGAGGGUGAUCGGCCACACUGGGACUGAGACACGGCCCAGACUCCUACGGGAGGCAGCAGUAGGGAAGCUUCCGCAAUGGACGAAAGUCUGACAGAGCAACGCCGCGUGAGUGAUGAAGGUUUUCGGAUCGUAAAACUCUGUUGUUAGGGAAGAACAAGUACGAGAGUAACUGCUCGUACCUUGACGGUACCUAACCAGAAAGCCACGGCUAACUACGUGCCAGCCGCCGCAGUAA